Molecule: long non-coding RNA, 457 nt
Organism: Cyprinus carpio carpio
Lineage: Eukaryota; Metazoa; Chordata; Actinopteri; Cypriniformes; Cyprinidae
Source: Ensembl
CGCGUAGAAAGAAAUUUAAAUGCAACGUGGGCAAACGUAAUGAUUGUGUAUUGUGUUCCUUCCUGGGAUUGGUGGAUUGGGUAAAUGAUGGUGGAAAUGUGCUGGAAAGAAAUGUUGUUGGGAACAUCAGAUCCGAGCCUCCCCGGGGAAACUAAGCCUCUCAGAUCUCUCACUUAAUGCAUGACAUUACUGCAGUGAUAUAACUGCUCACAAUAGGCUCAGUUAAGAGCUUAAUCGACAAUAUACAAACAACAGUGGGAUAAAUAUGAAAGAGAAAAGUAUUAAAGAUGGGGUUUGCAUUGACUUUUGUGGGGCCUCUUAAUACAGACUUCACUUUAGCAGGAAUUGUAUUUAGUUGUAGGAAGACCUGAUGAUUUUCACAUUGUAAAGUAGUCACAGGUAAGUCAAAAGUCCAUUUGCAUUAAGUAUUUUUUUAGCAGAGAUUUUGGUUACCAGA